RNA transcript from Hippoglossus stenolepis (Pacific halibut), 3161 nucleotides. RefSeq lists it as uncharacterized. Lineage: Eukaryota; Metazoa; Chordata; Actinopteri; Pleuronectiformes; Pleuronectidae. The transcript is spliced from 6 exons. The record is from RefSeq and is a predicted model, not a curated record.
GACACUGCAGCUUCAACUCGUCAUAGUGAAACAGCCCAGAUUCUGGAACUCCCAGAUGAGUGGGAGACACGAGCGGCUCUCUGAAACCACAAACACGGCGUUCCAGUUUAACUGGUGAUCAUGGCAACUGUUGAUUUGUUGGCCUGAUGACGACGUCAUUACGCCACCGAGCCGAUUAGGUGUUCGGUGCGCUUCACCUUGAAUGAAGCGUGUUUUACUCUGUCAGCUGUAUAAUGUCUGUAUCAUGAUAAACUGCUAUAUCCUGCGCACAGACAAAGCAAAAGCCACAAAUAUUUCGCGUGCUUACUAUUAGUGCGCGUUUCGUGUGCUCGUUGAUAUCCUGGCUGUGUGAAGCAAGAAUACAAACACAAGUAAUGAGAAGCCUGUAAGAGCUUUUCGUGUGUCAUGGUUUGCUGGUUUGGUUUAAGGCGUUUUAUUUAGUGUGUAGACACAACACAAAUGGAAACCUGCGCACUAAUCUUCACUAACUUCAAACUGCCAUGGCAAAGUCACUCUAGAGACUACCAAUUUAUUUCCAGAUUCUGUAACCUCUAUGGUUAACUAAAAUAAUAUCCACACCUCAUACAGAUAUCUUUGAAGAUUUGUUUCUGUCCUCUGUUUCUUAUUUCUCCUUUUCCUCAUCAGGAACAGGUGGAAAUACCAACACAAUAAAAAUACUGUAUAAUUAAAUUAUAACUAAAGCGUACAUGGCCCAGUGGUUUUUAAAGGCUCCCCAGCUAAUGUUAACCAAUUAAAAUAUUAGCACAUCACAAAAAAGCACAUUUUAUCCGUGCGUGAUACAUCUGUGCUGUAAAGAGCAACUGAGUGUUGGCUAAUUUUAUUGAUCACAGCUUGUCCCAAUUGCCUAAAUAAUUAGUCUUUUGUCCCUGUGGAAUUCAGUUUGCAAGUUACACACUCAAUCACCAUCUGAUGUCUUUUUAUGCUAACAAUUCACACCUGGUGGUGGCAAAACCUACAUAUAUGGAUUUUUCAAAUUAUUUGUAUUAUUUAGAGCAGGAGUAGUAUAGAAAAGAGAAGAAAAUAUUGUAGAUAUAGGAUAGACUAUUGCAUAUAUUAGAUAUAGGGUAAAUUUGAGUAUCGAUAGGCAUAAAUUAGCAUAGGUUAAUAUUCAGAUUAGUAACAGUAUAGUCAGGGACACUUGUAUAUCUAUACACCUAUAUAUCUACAUAUACUUAAAAUGGACCGUAAAAUUGUAAGGGAAAUAAAAGACUUCCUAAGGCAUAAUGCCUAUCCUUUUGGUUUAUCUUCAAAAGAUUGUUUUAUUUUAUAAAGAGGAGAUGUGAAAAUUACACCUUUAAGGGUAAGUAGUAGGCCUUGUCAUUCCAAACAAUAAGGCACUGAUGUUGAGUUACUAAUAUCAUCAUGGCCCUCAGAUGGGCAGCUUCACUACGUAUGCCGUAGAAGGAAGCAGGGCGAGUAUCUCGCCAAAGUUGUUACCUCAACAGAGGAGGCAAAUGACGUGUUUGUGGAUUUCCAUGCGAGUGAGCAUGGAGGGCAUUGUGGGAUGGAGAAAACUGUGGACGCCAUUUCCUUGCGGUACUACUGGCCUGGGAUGGAAAAGGACAUACGGAAAUGGAUCAUAAAUGCAUACCUCGUGCUUGCACUGAGGCAUUUCACUGAGGCAGGCAAAGGCAGGGGCUUUCCACUGGAGUCCUUCCAAAUGACUGACAUUUGGCAAGGAAAGAACAAAGGACUGAGGAAGGUGAUAAAUGUGAAUACACUGAAUAUCAGGGAGGAUUUUUUUAUUCAUGUUCCUUCACUUGUAGGCCUAUAUUUUAUUUGUCUUUGUCCUAUGUUUAUUUAUUCUGCAUCUUAAUAUUAGAGCAGAUUGCUCAUGUGAAAACCUGUUUAAGUUUCUGUGUUCUAUAUUGCAUAAAUGCAGGUAGAUCCUCUGGAUUAUGACGUCAUGGUUGGAGCUGCUUGCGAGCACCAACAUUGGACACUAACUUUGGCUAUAAUCACAAUAUACAGCUCCUGUUUGAAUAAUUCCUUGUUGCCUUUUCUAAUUUGUCCAGGUGAUAUAUCCUAAACAGAGGCACUCCGUGUAUGUGGAUCCUUUUGGGGCACAGAAGGAUGCAUUCAAAAAAAUGCAGUGCAGUGACCAGGGCUUUCAUGAGGCAGCGAGGCCACAACUCCUCCUGUGAAACAGUUUCACACGCUCCUCAAGAGGAUGCAACCUCAUGUGGUGUUAUUGUGUCUAAAUUAGCAGACAUGAUUUCAAAUGAAGAGGAAAUAGACGUCAUUUUUAAUAAGCCUGCAAUCAUAACUCAGAGAAUGCAGAUAGGCCAACGGCUGAUCCAAGAAACAGAUUGCUUGUACACUGUGUGAGAGCUGGUUCCACUGCAGCUGUGUUGGGUAACCACCAGUGGAUGGUCACUUUUAUUGCCCACUGUUACGACCUGGCUCGAUAGGAAUGAAGUGGCAACAUAAAACCAGGUGUUUUUGGAUAUAGAAGUUUAUUAUGAUGUCGGACGUGUGGUAAGCACAAGGGGCACAGCGGUGUCCAAAUGUGUGAAGUAUGAACGAUAAUUCCGAGUUUACGGUUAAGUUGUGACAACAGCACAUGGUAAGUGGUUCACAGGCUUCACAGUCAUCAGAACAUAGAGGUGACGCUCCUCUUCGGCCUGAUCAGUGGCGUAGUGGGCAGUGCAAUUGCCAUUACGUUAGAUGUUUUUAUGUGGACCACAGCACAUCGAUUCCCGUGGUGGGAUUUUUUCACAUUUAUAUUUAGCCCCACAACUAAGUGGUUUUGUCUGAAGAUGAUACUGACACAAAAAGGCACUUAAUUGUUACUGAUGUUUCCUGAAGUGUCCUCAAUUGCCUGUAUCACACACAACUUUGUUCGUGAAAAUACAAAAAAUAUAGUUGUAUUAUUAGUAUUUAUCACUAUUAUAAUUUGCCAGAGUUGUCAUAGUUAAACAGGGUACUUUAUUGGUUAAAUGCGCCUAUUGUAGGUCGCUUUGAAUAAAAGUGUCAGCUAAAUAAUAUGUAAUGAGCUGCAGUAGUGGAAUAAUUGUGGAAAAGUAUUGACACUGUCAGGAGUUCUGUCCUAACCCAGAUGAAAAGAAAGUGGCUUGAUGAUAAAACAAAACCUGAGUUUAUGAUCCUGAUCCUGUUGUGUUACAAGCAUGAACAUUGUG